RNAcentral lists this ribosomal RNA (301 nucleotides) under uncultured bacterium. Its description in RNAcentral is "partial 16S ribosomal RNA". It matches the Rfam family "Bacterial small subunit ribosomal RNA", at positions 509 to 809 of the family's 1533-position model. The record is from RNAcentral.
CAGUAGCCGCGGGAAUACGUAGGUGGCAAGCGUUGUCCGGAAUUAUUGGGCGUAAAGCGCGCGCAGGUGGUUUAAUAAGUCUGAUGCGAAAGCCCACGGCUCAACCGUGGAGGGUCAUUGGAAACUGUUAAACUUGAGUGCAGGAGAGAAAAGUGGAAUUCCUAGUGUAGCGGUGAAAUGCGUAGAGAUUAGGAAGAACACCGGUGGCGAAGGCGACUUUCUGGACGAAAACUGACGCUGAGGCGCGAAAGCGUGGGGAGCGAACAGGAUUAGAUACCCCUGUAGUCCCUGUCUCUUAUAU